This 253-nucleotide ribosomal RNA is filed under the name uncultured bacterium. RNAcentral's name for it is "partial 16S ribosomal RNA". It matches the Rfam family "Bacterial small subunit ribosomal RNA", at positions 524 to 776 of the family's 1533-position model. The record is from RNAcentral.
UACGAAGGGGGCUAGCGUUGCUCGGAAUUACUGGGCGUAAAGGGCGCGUAGGCGGAUAUCUAAGUUGGGGGUGAAAUCCCGGGGCUCAACCUCGGAACUGCCUUUGAUACUGCAAAUCUCGAGUCCGGAAGAGGUGAGUGGAAUUCCUAGUGUAGAGGUGAAAUUCGUAGAUAUUAGGAAGAACACCAGUGGCGAAGGCGGCUCACUGGUCCGGUACUGACGCUGAGGUGCGAAAGCGUGGGGAGCAAACAGG